UAGAUUGAAGCCAGUUGAUUAGGGUAUUUAGCUGUUAACUAAAUUUUCGCGGGAUAGAGGCCCGCCUGUCUAG
This 73-nucleotide transfer RNA is filed under the name Arctocephalus forsteri (New Zealand fur seal). RNAcentral's name for it is "tRNA-Asn". Lineage: Eukaryota; Metazoa; Chordata; Mammalia; Carnivora; Otariidae. The record is from RNAcentral.